Molecule: transfer RNA, 68 nt
Filed under: Ictidomys tridecemlineatus (thirteen-lined ground squirrel)
Lineage: Eukaryota; Metazoa; Chordata; Mammalia; Rodentia; Sciuridae
Description: Spermophilus tridecemlineatus (thirteen-lined ground squirrel) tRNA
Rfam family: tRNA
About the family: Transfer RNA (tRNA) molecules are approximately 80 nucleotides in length.
Source: Rfam by way of RNAcentral
GGAGUUGUGGCUCAGUGGUAGAGUGCUCGCCUAGCAUGCGGGAGCACUGGGUUCGAUCCUCAGCACCA